CUGGUGGAAUGCCAUGGCUCAGCAAAAUGACCUGAGGCCAGUCUGAGAGAACAGUCCUGUGGCAGGUAGCUUUAUGUCUCCUGAUAGAAGUGAAACAGAAAGUUUAAGUCAGUCAGAGCACCAGGUGGACCACUGAAAUCUCUGCUGAGGGGAAGCAGGAGUCAGGAGGGGCUAAAUGUCAUGUCUCAGCAAAAUGGCACAGGUCAAAUCUAAGUGAAUAGUUUUCUUGCAUGUAGCUUUGAAAAGAUCUAGAGCUCCCACCAGGGGUUAGACAGGAAGAACCAGGAAGUUGGUGCAAGUCAUGUCACAGCAUGAGGCUCAGGAGGCUCUACUGAGGGGAAGCAGGUGUAGGUGGGGAUAACCUGGCUAAAUGUAAUGACUCAGAAAAACAACAUAGGUUCAUUCUGAGAACAGUCCUCUUGCAGGUAACUUUAGGUAGUUUUAAGACUCCCAACAGGGUUGAAACAGAAGUUUAUGUCAGUGUGUUUGCUGAGUGUGCCCCUGGAGAAUCUGCUGAGGGGAAGUGGUGGUAGGCAGUUCUGGAUAAACACUAUGAUGCAGGAAAAACAGCACAGGGACAGGCUGAGAGAAGAGUUCUCUUGCAGGUAGCCUUAGGUAGCACUAGGGCUCAUAAUAAGGGUCAAACAGAAUUUU
This is a long non-coding RNA of Erinaceus europaeus (western European hedgehog), 654 nucleotides long. RefSeq lists it as uncharacterized. The transcript is spliced from 2 exons. The record is from RefSeq and is a predicted model, not a curated record. Lineage: Eukaryota; Metazoa; Chordata; Mammalia; Eulipotyphla; Erinaceidae.